Molecule: long non-coding RNA, 1536 nt
Filed under: Homo sapiens (human)
Lineage: Eukaryota; Metazoa; Chordata; Mammalia; Primates; Hominidae
Description: HSALNT0038461
Source: RNAcentral
GGACAUUUCAUCUGUGGUCCUCAUGGCAAAUUUCAAGAAAGUGGUGCAAACUUACAGUAUGUGUAUGAAGACUCUGCCAACAACUGCGGAUAGCUUUCCAACUGGAUGGACUGACAAGAGAAGUGGUCCUGAAGAAAGACUGUGAAAUUUUGUCUGGCAGAUAACUGGUUGCUGUGGGCAUCCUCCAAGUAUAAAGAAAUCACUCACCAUCCAGGGAGCCCUCCUGAAUUAUCAGAGGAGCUGCCAGUACUCCCAGCCCACUUUCUCUCGCCAUGAAUCUCCGUUGGUUGCUCUUCUAAUAGCCAUCUAGAAAAAGGUUUAUGCAUGUCUCUCAUUCCCAUAAUAUAAAAAUUGCUAAACUAACUUAUUGUGUAUAACAAUUAAACUAAUAUGCAAUAUCUAAUUACUAGGUAACAUGUAACUGCGAGCAGACUAUCAUGGUUCAAAUCCCAGCUCUGCCGCUUAUCAGCUAUAUGACUAGCAAGUCUUCCAACACUUUGUGCUUCAUUUCUUUACGGAUAAAAGUGGGACUUUAUUAUUACUUAUUUUACAGCGUGGUUAUAAAGAGUUGAAUGGAUUAAUACAUGUAUAACAUAUUUAGAACAGUUCCUGGCACACAGUAAGGACCAUUGAAGUAUUGGCUAUUUUUGUAAGAGCUGAAAGACACAGCUAAUGUUCAGUGCAAAGCAAAGCACCCAAAACCCAUUUGUAACGAAAUAAUUUAGUUAACCAUAUCAGUCACAGAAAACUCAGCCACACAAUCUCUCCAUUUGGCUUCCUUCUCUGACAAAAAUAAUGUCAUCAAAACAACUACUGUCUAACACAAACCCAAUGAUAGUUGUCAACUGUAAUGUAAAAACUGCCCAUUCAGAAACCUGCCUUACUCCAUUUUGAAAAAGUUGAACACGAACAGCUAAGUUUGUUGGAAAAAAAGGAAAAAAAAAGAAUGCCUGUGAUACUAACUUUUGAGGUCAGUUUAUUUGAGUGAAGCACAGUAAGGCACUCAGAGCAAUUCACAGAAGGGACAUCACAGAGGCACUGCCUCUUCCCCACUCACUCAUCCUUGCGCUUCAGCCAGGCCUAACUACUCACCGCCCUCCAAUACACGCGGUGUCCUGUGCCGGUCAUUCUUGUAAGCGAUGCUCCAUCCACCUAAACAGCCCAAUCUCUCCCUACCACCUUGUCCUCUCUGGAAACUCUAUUCAAUUUGACUCAACAAAUUUCUCCUCAAAAUAUCCCCUGAUUUCCAAGCAAAUUUGAUACCUCUCUGCUUUAUAUUCUACAAAGCUCAUCCUUUGAAUUGCUUUCUUACAGUUUAUUCUUUUGUCUCUCAUUGCUAUUAAACACUGAGAUUCUUGAAGGCAAGGAUUGUCCCUGAUGUUUUUUUACAUCCCUAACUUCUAGAAAAAUGAAAGGUAUGUAAUAGAAAAGUGAUAACUGCUUGAUAUUUUCAUUAAUUCAAAUAUCGGUAGGGGGAAGCCUUUUUUAAAAAAGAAAUUAGAAGCAUACCUGUAUGCAUAAAACAUAGAUCACCAC